GGUACUAAUAAUAAACCAGGUACUAAUAAUAAUCCAGAUACUAAUAAUAAACCACUGGACAGGUACUAAUAAUAAACCACGGGACAGGUACUAAUAAUAACCCAGGUUCUAUUAAUAAACCGCGGUACAGGUUCUAAUAAUAAACCACGAGACAGGCACUAAUAUUAAACCAGGUACUAAUAAUAAACCACGAGACAGGCACUAAUAAUAAACCAGGUUCUAAUAAUAAACCACUUGACAGGUACUAAUAAUAAACCACGGGACAGG
Oncorhynchus tshawytscha (Chinook salmon) is the source of this 267-nucleotide long non-coding RNA. Lineage: Eukaryota; Metazoa; Chordata; Actinopteri; Salmoniformes; Salmonidae. The record is from Ensembl.